UGGCCAGCACCCGUCUGUCAUGUCCUCCCUGGGGCUGCGUGAUGGGCUGAGUAGGAGUAGCGUACCGUUUGUCCACCUGCCCCACCGUCACACCCCUACUCAGAGGCCCUGCGCCCCUCACGUCUCUGUCUCAGCGUCUGGGACUCAUCUGGACUCCAGGACGCGAGUUUCAGAUCUGUCCCCAAGUGGCUGUGUGACCAUGGGCAGGUCGCAGCCUUCCUCGGGACAUCAACCACGCCGUCUCUAACAUGGGCGUGGCACAUUCCUUCCCUGAGGGCGCUUUUAGGUAUCACAACUCAGCACCUGAGGACGCCGACGGGGCUCCCAUAUUACAAGAGUGGAAACUGGGGUGCAGGUGGCAUGGCAAGAUCACGGGGACUGGGAGCGACUUCCCGGGCUCUCCUCUGUGGAGGGGUCCUGCGCCCUGCCGAGGUCGAGCAUGCGCCAAGGCUCCUCACACCCGGGGAGGCCCCGCCCCCAGCCAGCUUUGGCCACGCCCAGGACAUCUGGUCCCACCCUCAGCUCAUAGGGCUCCGCCCCAAUCUCGUUGACCACGCCCCCAGCCCGCCUUCGGACCCCCGCUCCCUUGCUUCGCUGUCAGCCUGAACGCUCUGCCUGUUCUCUUCGGCCUGCGAGCCUUUGCACAGGCUGUGCCCUCUGCCCGGCGCACCGUCCUCCUCACAACGCCCGCUGUCCGGGCAAGCCCCGAUCCCCGCUUCCUGCGCUCAGCCCUCUCCCUCCCUCCGGCCACACCCUGACUGGGAGAGCAGAAUCAACGCCCCUCCCCUUGGGGUCAGAGGUCAGAGAAAGAGUGGGAGGGGGCGUGGAGCAAGAACAGAGGGUGGCGAGGGGAAGUUAGCAACCGCGGAGAGGGGCUGCUUGUGGGUCACGGGCUUUUGAGAAGGGGGCAGGCAGGAGAGGCGGAAACAGGGAGACACCCAAGACUGGGGGCACCCAAGACUGGCGCCAAGCGCCGGUGUCCACCUGGUCCCCCGCCAGGUCACCCCAUCCCAGUCCACGGGCCGGGAUCGGGCCUGCCGGAGGACGCCGAGCACGGGAUUCGGCCCAGACCGGGGUGAGGGUGGGGGAUUCGGCAGGCUUCGGUUGUAUGGCCGGGUUUGACUAAGUUCGGUCUGAUCACACAGGGUUGGGCCUGGUCCAGAAGAAUUCGUUCGGGCUCUGCGUGAGGGCAGCUUGCCUGGCCGGUGAUUUGGCUGAAAAGAGUGAGAUGAGGAAGUGGAAAAGGGAAGUGCCCUCCACGGUGAGAGGUCACCGCGCCGGAGUUUGCCCAGAUCCCACACAGUGUUUCAGUCUCCCUCUGUCCAUUUUCUAGAUGGGGAAACUGAGGCCUGGAGCCACCAAGGGGCUGCCCAGAAACUACAAACCCUUCAUCCUUUGCCAGUUUUAACAGUAGAGUGUUAUUAAUAGCUCUUUGGAUGGAGAAAUUGAGCCACAGAGCUGAGACAGCAUUCGAAGCCUGGCCUGCCUGACCCUGGGAGGCCCCAAACCCGGCCAGGUCACAGCUGGAGCAUCACCCCCUCCAGGAAGCCCUCCCUGGUCAGCCAGAUAAACGUUCUCGGAGCACCCUCCUCUCACCAGUACACUUUCACAUUUACUGUCAUGAUUAUUUGAUCUGCAUCUGUCUCACCCACCAGCCCCUUGAGGGCAAGAGCAAGUCUGCCUUGCUCCCAGCUGUGCCCUUAGUACCUGGCACUCAGAAAGUGCCCAAUAAAUGCUUGUGAAAUGAA
Non-coding RNA from Equus caballus (horse), 1748 nucleotides. The record is from RefSeq and is a predicted model, not a curated record. Lineage: Eukaryota; Metazoa; Chordata; Mammalia; Perissodactyla; Equidae.